CAUUAUUUCUGGACAGUCAGACGCUUGAUGGCUUUCUUUCCUUUUAAUGCCUUAUUAAAUUUUCCACAUUUCUGUUCUAAUCAUGCAGUGCCUGUGUAAUCAGUGGAAAUAGUAUGUACUGUAAGAAUUAGCUUUUUAUUAGAUUUUAAGAUCUGAACAAAGAUGAAAUGCAGUUUAGAUUUCACCUGGCCCCAGCAUGGGCUGCUUUAUUGUCACCCAAGUGAAGUCCUAAAGCGAAACCAGAGUCUGGAUGUGACCGGCACUAACCUGCUCCUCAGAGGCGACCAGCCCAUGAUGGCGGAUUUCAUCACAAGGCGACUUGGCACUGAGCUACCAUUUGCUGGUCACAUCGGGCAAUCAUGUUGCUCUUACUACGCAGAAAUCCAAAUCUUUGUCCAAACUCAACCUCUUGAUUAACUUUCAUUUAAGUAGAUGUUUAUUUUUGAAAGGGUGAGUUUUCCUUCUUUUUUUUUUUUUCUUUCUUUGCAGCUGUCUUGGCGCUGUCUCAUUCCAGCUUGCAGAGGAAGCUUCUGAGUCAGAAAUGGGGUCAAGCCGUGUUUCUGGUGACGUUCCCAGAGCUCUGAGAAAGACGGACUCUCCUGGGACUUGAUGCCUGCUUCUGCAAACAGCUUGCAGAGAGCCACGAGAGAAGUGCAUCAGGAUUCUGCCAAAGCACUGGUGUAGCCCACCCUUGACCGUAUUUGAAAGACCCUUAGCACCCUCCAUAAACGAACAUUUCCAGAAAGCCUUGCUCAUGGGAAGAGGAAGCAUAAAAGACCGAGAAGGAAGCAGCCUGGGUUUGUGCUGAUGCCAGGUAGCGGCCUGCAUCCCGGGAAGCGUGGCCCUGCUUUCAAAUGGGCUGCGUGUCAUAGAAGUGGAAGCCAGCUCUCAGAACAAGAGGCCACUGGAUCACGAAGCAGCUGUCUGGCAGCCCUUUUUCCUAUGCAGCAGCCGUCCCUGAGUUGUGACUGUCACCGCUCAGCAGUUUCUCAAGGCCUCGUUUAUUUGGCGCAAGAGACAGAGCAGUCCUGGCUCGGCUUGUCUCAGAAGGAGCGGAAUUUUCUGCAGAAGACAAGACAAUGGUAAAAGGAUGCCUGGAGCAGACACAUAGUUCCUGGGGGACCAGAAUAAAGGGGUGAGUGGCAGUGAGGGUUAGGGUAACAGGGUUGUGAUGGUUCGUGCUCUACCCCAUGCUGGGAUUAUUGGGUAUUCUCUGAGGUCUAGGGAGGUGAAUGGCAG
This 1239-nucleotide long non-coding RNA is filed under the name Fukomys damarensis (Damara mole-rat). RNAcentral's name for it is "lncRNA (ENSFDAG00000026798.1)". The record is from RNAcentral. Lineage: Eukaryota; Metazoa; Chordata; Mammalia; Rodentia; Bathyergidae.